UGGGGAAUAUUGGACAAUGGGCGAAAGCCUGAUCCAGCCAUGCCGCGUGUGUGAAGAAGGUCUUCGGAUUGUAAAGCACUUUAAGUUGGGAGGAAGGGCAUUAACCUAAUACGUUAGUGUUUUGACGUUACCGACAGAAUAAGCACCGGCUAACUCUGUGCCAGCAGCCGCGGUAAUACAGAGGGUGCAAGCGUUACUAGGAAUUACUGGGCGUAAAGCGCGCGUAGGUGGUUUGUUAAGUUGGAUGUGAAAUCCCCGGGCUCAACCUGGGAACUGCAUUCAAAACUGACUGACUAGAGUAUGGUAGAGGGUGGUGGAAUUUCCUGUGUAGCGGUGAAAUGCGUAGAUAUAGGAAGGAACACCAGUGGCGAAGGCGACCACCUGGACUAAUACUGACACUGAGGUGCGAAAGCGUGGGGAGCAAACA
RNAcentral lists this ribosomal RNA (427 nucleotides) under uncultured bacterium. Its description in RNAcentral is "partial 16S ribosomal RNA". It matches the Rfam family "Bacterial small subunit ribosomal RNA", at positions 355 to 774 of the family's 1533-position model. The record is from RNAcentral.